Small nucleolar RNA from Rhinichthys klamathensis goyatoka, 129 nucleotides. RefSeq annotates it as small nucleolar RNA SNORA63. Lineage: Eukaryota; Metazoa; Chordata; Actinopteri; Cypriniformes; Leuciscidae. The record is from RefSeq and is a predicted model, not a curated record. The transcript has a single exon.
AUGCAGGUCUAGUUACGGACUGGCUGUGUCAGUGCCUGUUUGUCGUUCCCCCUGCACAAAUCAACAUGUUUCCUACUAUCCCUGAGUGUCAGCAUCCCACGGCUCACAGGGACGCUUGGUUUCAGACAU